Long non-coding RNA from Phocoena sinus (vaquita), 2839 nucleotides. The record is from Ensembl. NCBI's taxonomy places the organism in Eukaryota, Metazoa, Chordata, Mammalia, Artiodactyla, Phocoenidae.
GAGCCGCCGGGGCCAGGGUCACCCUGAGCUGAGACGGCGCCGCUAUGUUGGAACGGUUCGUGGGCCCGCGCUACCGCCAGCUGGCCAGAAACUGGUUACCCACAGUGGGCAUGUGGGGCACCGUGGGAGCCAUGGGGCUGGUGUGGGCCACUGACUGGCGGCUGAUUCUGGACUGGGUGCCCUACAUCAAUGGCAAGUUCAAGAAGGACGAUUAAUUAAACCCAUCACCCUCGGACCCCUCCGGUGUCUGGUGGUGCUGCCCCCUUCCAUCUGCAUCUGGAACGGCCCAGGCUCUUGGGAUUGACCUCGAGGAAAUACACGGCGCGAGUUAGGUUUCCGACGCUGGUGGAAAUAACCUUGGUGUGUGAACACACAUGGCAUUAAACCUCACCCUGAAACCUGCUGGCCUGCAUGUGCUCAUGCUGGGGCUUGGUUAUGUUGACUGCAGGCCCAGGGGCCCAGAUGACCCGGGGAGCCUUUCAACUCCAAAACUGCAAAUCUGCAGUUUCCCAGCGGCUGGCAGACAUGGUUUGAUUACUUCAGAUGUUUAGUGGAUAAUAUCUGCACGGGGUUUUUAUCGAUCGCUGCCUUAAAAAGUUACCCUUGACCUAGGGGCUCAAGACACACAUUCAUUAUCUCUCAGUGAGAAUUUGGGAGUGAUCUGUCUGGGGGGUUCUUGGCUGAGGGUCCCUCAUGAGGUUGCAGUAGUGGCAUUGGCUGCAUGAUGAAGGGUGGCACCAGGGUGGGGUGGGGAGUCGGGGCUUCCAGGAGGCCCCCUCACGUGGCUCCUCCCCACGUGGGCCUCCCAGACGCUGCUUGAGCCUCUCUACUACACAGCGGCCCGAGAGCAGGCAGGGAAGAGCCUCUGUGCCUUUUAUGACCUACUCAGGACUCUCAGGCCAUCUCCUGCUCCACACCUUAUUCGGGAGGAGAAUUAGGCUCUGUGCCUUGAAGGAGGAACAUCAGAACCUGUAGACGUGUUAAACCAUCACCGGGGAUACAAAAAUGAGCGGGUACACGAGGAUAUACUGCAUACAGGCAGUUCCCUCCAACUCCUGCCAAGUUCUGGAAAAUUCUAGAAACGUUCUAUUUGUGAAGAAGAGCUAUUUUAUUAGUCUGUUUGGGCUUCCACAACAAAACACAGGCCAGGCAGCUUAAGCUACAGAAUGAACGUCUCACAGUUCUGGAGGCUGGAAGUCUGAGCUCAGUUCUGGCAGGGUUGGUUCCUGGCGAGGGCCCGCCUCCUGGCCUGCAGACAGCCCCCUUCUCACUGCAUCCUCACGUGGCCUCUCCUUGAUGUGAGCAAGUGAUCUCUCCAGGGACUCUGAGGACAUGCUAAUUCUAGGGGACCAGGGCCACACCCUUCUGACCUCAUUUAACCUUAAUUGUUUCGGGGGGGGGGCAUCUCCACAUACAGCCACACUGGGGGUUAGGGUGUCAGCAUAUACAUUUCAGGGAGACACUUUCAGUCCACAGCAGCUUUGUAUAUUUUAACACAAGUAGUGGCAUGUUCUACACACUUUUCUGCACAAACAUUUUACACCUAUGGCUUAUUUCCUGGAAGCCAUGCCACUUUGGAAAGCACAAAGCAUCAUGAAAAAGUCUACAAAUAAGGGAUUUCCCUGGUGGUCCAGUGGUUAAGAAUCCACCUUGCAGUGCAGGGGUUGCAGGUUCGAUCUUAGUUCGGGGAACUAAGAUCCCACAUGCUGUGGGACAACUAAGCCUGUGUGCCCCAACCAGAAGCCUGCAACGAAAGAUCCUGCGUGCCACAACUAAGACCCAAAGCAGCCAAAUAAAUAUUUUUAAAAAGUCUGCAAACAAAUGCUGGAGAGGGUGUGGAGAAAAGGGAACCCUCCUAACACUAUACCAAUUGGUAGGAAUGUAAACUGGUGCAGACACUAUGGAGAACAGUUUGGAGGUUCCUUUAAAAACUAAAAAUAGAAUUACCAUAUGAUACAGUGAUUCCACUCUUAGGCAUAUAUCUGGAAAAGAUGAAAACUAAUUCAAAAAGAUACAUGGAGGGCUUCCCUGGUGGCACAGUGGUUAAGAAUCCGCCUGCCAAUGCAGGGGACACGGGUUUGAGCCCUGGUCCGGGAAGAUCCCACAUGUCGCGAAGCAACUAAGCCCGUGCGCCACGACUACUGAGCCUGCGCUCUAGAGCCCACAAGCCACAACUACUGAGCCUGCGCUCUAGAGCCCGUGCGCCACAACUACUGAAGCCCGCGUGCCUAGAGCCUGUGCUCCGCAACGAGAAGCCACUGCAAUGAGAAGCCCGUGCACCGCAACAGAGUAGCCCCCACUUCCUGCAACUAGAGAAAGCCCGCGCGCAGCAACAAAGACCCGAUGCAGCCAAAAAUAAAUAAAUACACUUAUUAAAAGAAAAAAAAAGAUACAUGGACCCCAAUGUUCAUAGCAGCACUAGUUACAAUAGCCAAGGCAUGGAAGCAACCUAAAUGCCCAUUGACAGAGGAAUGGAUAAUGUGGUGCAUGUACACAGUGGACUAUUACUCAGCCAUAAAAAAAGGAUGAAGUAUUGCCAUUUGCAGCAACAUGGAUGAACCUAGAGAUUAUCAUACUAAGUGAUGUAAGCCAGACAAAGACAAAUAUCAUAUGAUAUCACCUAUAUGUGGAAUCUAAAAAGAUGAUACAAAUGAACUUAUUUACAAAACAAAUAGGCUCACAGACAGAAAACAAACUUAGGGUUACCAAAGGGGAAAGGGGGGAAGGGAGGGAUAAGUUAGGAGUUUGGGAUUAACAUACAUUGCUAUAAAUGAAAUAGAUAAACAACAAGAACCUACUCUAGCACAGGGAACUACAGUCAAUAUAAUAAACCAUAAUG